CCGACGGUGAGAGGUGAAAGCUGGGGGCACGAACCGGAUUAGAUACCCGGGUAGUCCCAGCCGUAAACGAUGCUCGCUAGGUGUCUGGGAUGGUGCGACCGUUUCAGGUGCCGCAGGGAAGCCGUGAAGCGAGCCACCUGGGAAGUACGGCCGCAAGGCUGAAACUUAAAGGAAUUGGCGGGGGAGCACUACAACGGGUGGAGCCUGCGGUUUAAUUGGACUCAACGCCGGAAAACUCACCUGGGGC
RNAcentral lists this ribosomal RNA (247 nucleotides) under uncultured archaeon. RNAcentral describes it as "partial 16S ribosomal RNA". It matches the Rfam family "Archaeal small subunit ribosomal RNA", at positions 691 to 937 of the family's 1478-position model. The record is from RNAcentral.